Molecule: non-coding RNA, 85 nt
Filed under: bovine gut metagenome
Description: Glycine riboswitch
Rfam family: Glycine riboswitch aptamer (bases 3-78)
About the family: This family represents the bacterial glycine riboswitch. Glycine riboswitches usually consist of two metabolite-binding aptamers domains with similar structures in tandem. The aptamers cooperatively bind glycine to regulate the expression of downstream genes.
Source: RNAcentral
GAUCUGGAGAAUCCCGCCCGGUGCGGGUGCCGAAGGGGCAAGGCGCGUUGCGCUCAAUCUCUCAGGCAAAAGGACAGAGUGUGAA